GACUUUCAAAUCCCACCAUCUUCUAUGUUGAUUGGGAUUUUAAAACUUCAGCCACGUCCCAGUGUCUUGUUUCAGGCCCGCUUGAAAUCCAUAUGAGAAUGGUACCAAUGUCGCACUCGCAUACAAAGUCUUUCUCUGUCGCAUUUGAACUCGGGCUGAACCACCAAAAGUCCCACACAAAGCCUCUGCCUCUUGUCUUACGCGAGAUCCCAGCAUCCAUCAAUACUUUGGGUUCCUAUGGGCCCCAAACAUUUAAACCACCAAAGGCCCACUUGAUUUGUUCACUCCACACUCACGUCAUAGGCCUAUCCAUGCUCUCCAUGUUGCACCC
Molecule: long non-coding RNA, 331 nt
Filed under: Elaeis guineensis (African oil palm)
Lineage: Eukaryota; Viridiplantae; Streptophyta; Magnoliopsida; Arecales; Arecaceae
Description: long non-coding RNA (EGUI_LNC057647)
Source: RNAcentral